UACGGAGGGUGCAAGCGUUGUUCGGAAUCACUGGGCGUAAAGCGCGUGUAGGCGGCCUUCUAAGGCUGAUGUGAAAGCCCGGGGCUCACCAUCGGAAGUGCAUUGGAUACUGGGAGGCUGGAGUACCGGAGAGGAGGGUGGAAUUCCUGGUGUAGCGGUGAAAUGCGGAGAUAUCAGGAGGAACACCGGUGGCGUAGGCGGCCCACUGGACGGAUACUGACGCUUAGACGCGACAGCGUGGGGAGCAAACAGG
Molecule: ribosomal RNA, 253 nt
Filed under: uncultured bacterium
Lineage: Bacteria
Description: partial 16S ribosomal RNA
Rfam family: Bacterial small subunit ribosomal RNA
Source: RNAcentral